This is a non-coding RNA of Phoenix dactylifera (date palm), 584 nucleotides long. The record is from RefSeq and is a predicted model, not a curated record. Lineage: Eukaryota; Viridiplantae; Streptophyta; Magnoliopsida; Arecales; Arecaceae.
GAGCAAUUAGAGAGGGAGAAAAACAAACAAUUGUUCUCUCUCUCUCUCUUUCUUUCUUCCUCCCGUCAACAAAAUAUCAAGAAGAGAGAGUUGGCUCUCUCUCUCUCUCUCUCUCUCUUCCUUCCUUCUUGACGGAAAGGGGAGAAGGGGGCUCGGCCGUAGGUGGCCCACGGCCGGCGACGCUCCAUGGUCGUCGGUCUGUGGCGUGCCGGUGGUGCCACGCCCGGCGACGGCGGGCCGGCCGGAACGGAAGAGGAGAAGGCCGAACCGGCUCGGCUUCUCCAUCAUUUCGGAGGCUUUCCGGCCUCAUUCCCAAAGAAGCAAGGGCCAAAAACGAAGAAGGAGGAGAAGAAGGUGCUCACCUUGCCUCCGGCGAGGUCCUCCCGACCGGAUUGACGGCAACCGCGUCGAUUCCUCCCGCGAUUCAGAGACUUGAUCGUACGGGAUUGGGGAGUGCGCUAUUAUUCCUUCAGUUUUUAGCAUUUUAGAUUAGUCUGAACAUUUGAAUUAUGUUGGCAAAUGUUAUUUUAAAAUUUUGUAAGACUGCUUUUGAACAAUUUAAAUAAUUAUGUCAUCUUUAAGCA